GUUAAUUACCACUAAAGCCGCUAGAGGAUCCGCUAGAUAACAGUGGAAAUGCAAAUUUGCAGUUUUUCUUGAAUGUUUAUUGUCUUUAAGAUCUACAAACAUUCUCAUUUCUAUGUAAAUCUUUUCAAAAUUGCGAAUGUGUUAAAUUUCAAUAUCUCUGCUAUGAUAGUCAAAGAUCAACUGACAAAUAUAAGAUAUGUAUUCUUAUGUUUAAAUAUGAGCUUUAAGCACGCUUGCAUUACAUUGGCACUUAA
Molecule: unclassified non-coding RNA, 254 nt
Filed under: Hevea brasiliensis (rubber tree)
Lineage: Eukaryota; Viridiplantae; Streptophyta; Magnoliopsida; Malpighiales; Euphorbiaceae
Source: RNAcentral